Molecule: ribosomal RNA, 507 nt
Filed under: Salmonella enterica
Lineage: Bacteria; Pseudomonadati; Pseudomonadota; Gammaproteobacteria; Enterobacterales; Enterobacteriaceae
Also listed under: 2 other names
Description: partial 23S ribosomal RNA
Rfam family: Bacterial large subunit ribosomal RNA
Source: RNAcentral
AGACCCGAAACCCGGUGAUCUAGCCAUGGGCAGGUUGAAGGUUGGGUAACACUAACUGGAGGACCGAACCGACUAAUGUUGAAAAAUUAGCGGAUGACCUGUGGCUGGGGGUGAAAGGCCAAUCAAACCGGGAGAUAGCUGGUUCUCCCCGAAAGCUAUUUAGGUAGCGCCUCGUGAAUUCAUCUCCGGGGGUAGAGCACUGUUUCGGCUAGGGGGCCAUCCCGGCUUACCAACCCGAUGCAAACUGCGAAUACCGGAGAAUGUUAUCACGGGAGACACACGGCGGGUGCUAACGUCCGUCGUGAAGAGGGAAACAACCCAGACCGCCAGCUAAGGUCCCAAAGUCAUGGUUAAGUGGGAAACGAUGUGGGAAGGCCCAGACAGCCAGGAUGUUGGCUUAGAAGCAGCCAUCAUUUAAAGAAAGCGUAAUAGCUCACUGGUCGAGUCGGCCUGCGCGGAAGAUGUAACGGGGCUAAACCAUGCACCGAAGCUGCGGCAGCGACACUC